This 375-nucleotide ribosomal RNA is filed under the name uncultured bacterium. Its description in RNAcentral is "bacterial SSU rRNA". It matches the Rfam family "Bacterial small subunit ribosomal RNA", at positions 524 to 898 of the family's 1533-position model. The record is from RNAcentral.
UACAGAGGUGGCAAGCGUUGUUCGGAAUUACUGGGCGUAAAGGGCGCGUAGGCGGUCCUGUAAGUCUUGUGUGAAAUCCCUCGGCUUAACUGAGGAACUGCACGAGAUACUGCGAGACUUGAGUUCGGGAGAGGAAAGCGGAAUUCCGGGUGUAGCGGUGAAAUGCGUAGAUAUCCGGAGGAACACCGGUGGCGAAGGCGGCUUUCUGGACCGACACUGACGCUGAGGCGCGAAAGCUAGGGGAGCAAACGGGAUUAGAUACCCCGGUAGUCCUAGCUGUAAACGAUGAGUGCUGGGUGUAGGGGGUUUUAACCCUCCUGUGCCGAAGCUAACGCAUUAAGCACUCCGCCUGGGGAGUACGGUCGCAAGGCUGAA